GUGCUCACUUUAGCAACAUAUAUACUAAAAUUGAAAUGAUACAGAGAUUAUCAUGGCCCUCUCACAAGGAUGACGCACAAAUUUGUGAAGCGUUCCAUAUUUUA
Saimiri boliviensis boliviensis (Bolivian squirrel monkey) is the source of this 104-nucleotide small nuclear RNA. NCBI's taxonomy places the organism in Eukaryota, Metazoa, Chordata, Mammalia, Primates, Cebidae. The record is from Ensembl.